This 253-nucleotide ribosomal RNA is filed under the name uncultured bacterium. Its description in RNAcentral is "partial 16S ribosomal RNA". It matches the Rfam family "Bacterial small subunit ribosomal RNA", at positions 524 to 776 of the family's 1533-position model. The record is from RNAcentral.
UACAGGGGGGGCAAGCGUUGUUCGGAAUUACUGGGCGUAAAGGGCUCGUAGGUGGCCAACUAAGUCAGACGUGAAAUCCCUCAGCUUAACUGGGGAACUGCGUCUGAUACUGGAUGGCUUGAGUUCGGGAGAGGGAUGCGGAAUUCCAGGUGUAGCGGUGAAAUGCGUAGAUAUCUGGAGGAACACCGGUGGCGAAGGCGGCAUCCUGGACCAACACUGACGCUGAGGAGCGAAAGCCAGGGGAGCAAACGGG